Molecule: long non-coding RNA, 4650 nt
Organism: Tarenaya hassleriana
Lineage: Eukaryota; Viridiplantae; Streptophyta; Magnoliopsida; Brassicales; Cleomaceae
Exons: 2
Source: RefSeq, a predicted model, not a curated record
AAUAGAUACUCCGACAUCAGAAUCUCUCUCUUUCUCACAUCAAUCUUUUGUUUCCUUCUCCUUUAAACGAAAUUCUAAAUCAAAUUUCAAAUUCCCAACGGUCAAAUAGGCAACAAUAGAAGAGCUCCAUCUCGUCUCUCUCCACAACGUUCAUCUCUCUCUCUCUCUCUCUCUCUCUCUGUGAAACCUAUGAAACCUCCACCGAAGAUCUGCGAGAAUGCGUUCACUUCUAACUCUUCGAUCCCUAAUUUUCUUCCCAGUCUCUGCGAAGCCAAAAGUCAAACCCUGAGUCACGAUGCUACUGCAAUCAGAUCCGGCGAAGAAAACGCAGCUCCGGUAGAUCCAAACACUGAUCAUCACAAUCGCCAUCAAAAUCCCCCUCCUCUGUGAGUCAGAUCCUUAAAUCUCACGGUCAGGUUGAAAUUCUAGCAAAUCUGGGCGGCCAUAUCCAGGUAAACGUAGAAUUUUCUGGAUUUUCUUGUUUCAGUUCGAUAAACUCUGAUUUAAGAGUCAACAGAUUAUUUCUUGAACUUGAGAAGUUGCUUAUUUAAGACUUGAAUUGGAAGAAACAGUGAUGCAAUUGGCUUGAAUUUUGAGAACUUUUACCGGUCCAGAAAAUGGGACUGGAUACUGUCGUUUCUCCUCUCUCGUGUACUUCAGAUUUGGAAGAGGCCAAAAUCUUCAGCUAUGGAGGCCGAAGAUUCUUCAAACAACGGCAGCAUCGGCGUCUACGCAAAUCUCGACCCUGGUACAAACCCUAACCCUAACAGUAAUGGUUGUUGAAUGCAUUGGCUAUCCCCUCUCCCUCCGUCUGCCUCGUCCGCUUUGCCGGAGAUGGCGCCGGCGAUGCCGUCGGGGGCUCCAUCUUUGGCUGCGAUGCUGAUAUUUCCUUCUCUCGCUUUUUACAUGUGUGUGCUGAGUUUUAUCUGUGGUCAUAUUAACCUGGCGGAACUGUUGCGUUGGAAGUAUAUUCACAGUAGAAAUUGGGCAUACCUAUUUCCGGCAUUGAGCUUUUCUCUGUGUUUUUAUUUGAUUGUUCUUGUGAUUUUUGAGUUGGCUUAGUAUACGUUUUGGGUUUCUAGGCUUUCCAAGUUUGAGAUUUAUGCUUGCCAAAGGGGAUUCUACAUUUUUGGUCAUACUUGAUUGCUUUGAUUGUCGAGGUUUAUGUUGUUGUGACAAAAUCUGCCUGAAUAUUUACUAAGAAGAAAGAACCCUUAGCGUUUGUUCGUUUUGUUUAGCUUUCUGUCACAAACAUUAUUAAGCAGCAUUUGCACUAGUUUUUCAUGGGAUGGAGAAUCCAUUGUUUUAUUCUGUGUGAUUAUGUUGGUCGGUGUUAAAGUAGCAAUGAUGGGUUCUGCCUCUAAAUUCUGUUUGGUUGAGAUUGCCACACUGGUAAGAACCAUCAACGUUUGUUAUUAUGCUCCUUCAGCGAAACUUCUGGAACCAAGUUACCGGAUUUCUAUCUUGAUUGAUGUUCUUAAGCAUAAGCAGUAUUUUUGUAGUAUCCUUUGUUUUGUUCCGUACGGGAUUGUUUUUGGCCAAUGUUGAAACCCAGAUAUAAGGGUUUGCCUCUUUUGUUGGUUAAGAUAACCAAACUGCUAGCUAAACAACAUCUCUUGUUUGGGGAUCAGGUUCUGGAUUGUCCGCAUAGGUAUAUCCAUAAUAUACAUAUAUUGCUGAUUAUGUAUGUUCAUUCUGAAACUGCCUGUCGUUGCAUAUUAUUCCUUUUGCAAAUGGCAACUAAAUCAUUAUGAUUCCUUUUGUUAGACUAGACGUUUGUUGUUCUACAACUGAAUCAUUAUGACUUCGCGAGCUGACCUCUCCCUUUCUUGUGGCAUGCAUAAUGUGUCUGUGUAAAAGUUUUCUGUUUCUAACUUUGAGACAAGUGUUGUUUGGGUGCAGCCAUUAAUGUUGGAGCUGCAGGGUGCUGCAACGGCCUUGUUCUUAGUUUCCAUGUUGCAAAGUACUAUAUUUGUCAUGCUUCUGAAUUCGGAUCACAUCGACGUAGAUGUGAAUGGUUGUGUUGUAAGUGAGAAAUUGGGCAUAUCUAUUUCCGGUAUUGAUCUUUUCUCUUGUAUUUAUUUCAUUAUUCUUGUGAUUUUUGAGGUUGUGUAGUAAGCGUUUUUGGUUUCGGAGUUUUCCGAUUGGAGAUUUUUGUUUGCUAAAGGGGAUUGUUUUAUCUCUACUCAUACUUGAUUGCAAUGGUUGUCAAGGUUUAUGUAGCUGUACCAAAAGUUGUGCAGCCCUUAACGUUUGUUCGUUUUGUUUAGCUUUCUAUCUCAGACUUUAUUUAGCAGCUUUUGCAUUAGUUUAAUGGGCUGAAGAAUCUAUUGUUUUAUUCAUGUGUGAUUAUGUUGGCCGGUGUUGAAGUACCUGUGACGGGUUCUGCCUCUAAAUUCUGUUGGUUGGGAUUGCCAAACGGUAAGAACUGCCACGUUUUUUCUCAUGCUUCUUCUGGGAAUCUUUUGAAACCAAGUUGCCAGUUUUCUAUCCCGAUUGAUGUUUUAACCAGUUUUUUUAAGUACCCGUUGUGUUGUUCCGUUUGUGAUUUUUUUGGCCAAUGUUGAAACCCAGUGAUAAGGGUUUUGCCUCUUUUGCUGGUUGAGAUGACCAAACUGCUAAACAACAUCUCCUUGUUUUGGGAUUAGUUUCUGGAUUGUUCAAGAAGAAAUGUUUCAAAGGAUCAUCUGUAGUUGCAGGGUAGUCUGCAAAGGUAAAUCCAUAGUAUGUAUAUUGGGUGAUUAUGAUCAUUUUCAAACUGCCCCGUUGUUGCAUAUUAUUCCUUUUGUCAAUGGCUACCGAAUCAUUAUGAUUCCUCUGUCAGGAAAAGAUGAUGGUGAGGCUCUAAAACUUUGCGAGCUGACAUCUCCCUUUACGAUUUAUGCAUAAUGUGUCUGCAUAAAAGUGAUCUUUGUUUUGCAGCCAAUACUGUUGAUGUUGCUGGGUUCUGCACAGGUCUUGCUCUUAGUUUCCCGGUUUAAAGAGCUCAUCCUAACAUUAAUGAUUCUUCCAAGGCAGUGCCUAUCCGUUGUCCCUCUGUCUGGAACUGUAAUGGCUCCAUCUUUGGCUACGGUGAUGUUAUUUCCUUCUCCACAUCUUUAUGUGUGUGUGUGUGUAUCGAGUUUUAUCUGUAGUUAUAUUAACCUCGCGGAAUGGUUGUGUCAAAAGUGAGAAAUUGUGUAUUUCCAUUUCCAGCAUUGAGCUUUUCUCGUGUAUUUAUUUGAUUGUUCUUGUGAUUUCUGAGUUGGCUUCGUAAGCGUUUCAGUUUUCGGGGCUUUGCAAGUUGGAGAUUUAUGCUUGCCAAAGGGGAUUGAUUGUUCAUCAUUUUUUGUCAUACUCGAUUGCUUGUUGUCUAGGUUUAUGUUGAUGUAGCAAAAUCUGUGUGAAUUUUUAAUGAGUAGAAAGAACCCUUAACAUUGGAGAUUUAUGCUUUGCAUGUUGGAGAUUUAACGAGUCAAGUGUUUUUUGUUUGCAGCCAUUAAUAUUGGUGCUCCACAGGUCUUGCUCUUAGUUUUCCUGUUCCAAUAUAUUGGCUGGCUGUCCGCUCUCCCUCCAUCUGCCUCGUCCACUUCGUAAUGUUUCCAUAUUUGGCUUACGGUGCUGUUAUUUCCUUAUUUCUGUGUGUCGGGUUUUAUCUAUAGUUAUAUUAACCACGGAAUGGUUUGUCUUGAAAGUGAGAAAUAUAAUUGGGUAUACCCAUUGCCCCCGAAUCUGAACCCCCGAUGAUACGAACCCUAAUCCUAGCACUAACUAUUCUUCCUAAGGCAUCUGUUGUUUGUAAUAUGCAUUGCAUUCACUUAGAUCAUUCCAUAUCAAUAUUUAUGUAAAGAUUACACUUAGAUCAUGGCCCUGGUUUGACUGUGAUUGCCCAUAAAAGUAUUCGCAAAAAAGUGCGUCCUUGUGGUUACCCUGUUCCAUUCUUGACGAAUAUCGGAUGCAGCUUCUUUAGAAUUGUCAGUGAAAAAUAACGUUACGGCAUUUUGGACUUCUAAACAUUCACGAACCUGGACUUUUCCACAAGGCGGCAUAGAGUAAAAGUCAAGUAAAUGAUAUUCUAUAUAUAUAUCUCUAUGCAUCCACAUUCUUUGGAAUCCCAAUUUUUUUUUAAAAACAACAACGAAAAUGCAUUGGCAGCAGGUUGCGAGGGUGAUCACUUUGAUUCUCCUCGCGUUCUUCGCAUCAAGAACAUCCUUUGCCAGGCUCCAUGAACAUCCUCCCAUAACAAGUAAGUUUCUCGUUCUUCACGGCGUUAAAAUCUUUCAUAUGACCUUUUUUUUUUUUUUGUUGGCUGAAGGAAUAGGAGAAGAGAUUAUUCAGAAACAAUAUAUUGGAGGUACCAAGAUCAAGGUACCGAGCAGCACUUCACGGCAUGCGCCUGGUGGUCGUGGAGGGUGAAAGAGAUCAGCAUUUCAUGGAGAAGCGGAACUUGAAGAAGGGUUCAUAAAGAUUCUGAUAAGUUUUUCCCGCACUCCUUGUUAAUAUCCAAUAAUAAGCAUAAUCCCUCGAGAUGCAUAAACUCAAAAAAAAAAUAUUCUAAUAAAGUAAAGGUAGGUAUAUAAAAAGAAGAGUUCGAGAGUCUUAAAAACAGUUGGAAUGUUCUUAUUUAUUUAUUUAUCAAGGGCCUUAUAAAAAAGAUGAAGUUUCUUGAGA